Long non-coding RNA from Xenia sp. Carnegie-2017, 133 nucleotides. RefSeq lists it as uncharacterized. The transcript is spliced from 2 exons. NCBI's taxonomy places the organism in Eukaryota, Metazoa, Cnidaria, Anthozoa, Malacalcyonacea, Xeniidae. The record is from RefSeq and is a predicted model, not a curated record.
GUAAGCAAUCAUUGGUGCAUCAUGACCACUGGACCCACCCCAACCUGCAUAACUCACAGAUUUAUAAAAAAGCAUCACGUUCAGCGGCAUUUUGACAUGGAUCAUGGAUUCAAUGGCUGUAGUAGUGAAGAUA